Long non-coding RNA from Balaenoptera ricei (Rice's whale), 2364 nucleotides. RefSeq lists it as uncharacterized. The record is from RefSeq and is a predicted model, not a curated record. The transcript has 3 exons. Lineage: Eukaryota; Metazoa; Chordata; Mammalia; Artiodactyla; Balaenopteridae.
GGCAGAAACUACAAAUCCCGAAAAGCUGGGCUGAGGUCGCUCGCCUCCGUUUCUGAGAGUUUCGUUUCUUUAAAGGUAGAAAUUGAUGUUGCCUAAUAUAAGGUUAAAGGAGAGGUGGGAAGAAUUUUCUACCUAUUCUCAAUGAAACCUCAAUCGCUUCCCGGUCCAGACCGCUACCUCUUGUGCAGGAUCUUGCCUGACAGUUCGCUCAAGAGCUAUGUUUGACUUUGCUCCGGUAAACUGCGAUGGACGAGAGCGCUGCAAAUGUCACGAGGCAUUUAUUUCCCUUUCUUAAGCCCCUGACCUCGUGAAUGAGCAUGCCUAGGGCUAAAGGGGUCGUCGGGGUUCGGUGGGAAGAAUCUACGCCGCGGGCUCAGUCCCCCACGGUCGCAGAGGCGGUCCUCCCAAAGCGUAGACAAGCUUCUUCCCGGAACCAGCUUGCAGCCUGGCGGUGCUUUGCUCACCCCUUUCUUGCUUUGUAGGAGUUGUCAUUCCUGUGGAGCUUUUGGUCUUUCCUGAAGUGUCUACUUGCCUCUUUUAUAUUAUUGAUCCAAAGAAACACGUCUUCGUCUCACCUGGAGCAGACCAGAGUAACAAUCUGAAGGUACAACAUUUAAACUUGAAAUCAGAGAAUGAGUCCAAGGAUGGAAGCCUGAACACACGGCAUAAUCUCUUAUCCUACUCGAAGAUUCUCUGAAUUCCAAUGUUUUAUCCAACUAUGGACUGAGACCUAUGGAAAAUAAUAGUUAUUUGAACACAUAAUUCUUAAGAAUUUGAUCAUUUCUCAGUCUCCUACACCGUAUUGUUAGGUCCAAGAGGACAGCAAUCAUCUUUUUGGUUCACCCUUGAAUCCCCAGUGCCUUGCAGAGCCUGACAGAGAAGGCGCUCAAAUGACUGUUACAUAAUUAAGUCAUCUGUUCCCCUCACUUGAUCCUUUACUGGUUCUGUGGACUCGCUUUAGGUUCAUCCAAAAUAUUUCACUGAAUGUACGGCUCUCAUUGUUAAAAAGACUGAACUUACACUGACCUGGAGUCAGCUUCCUUAUAGCUUCUGUGGGUUGGACGAUAGCACAGGAGGGAUGUUAGGGUGGGGGCAAAGAAGAGGGGUGGUGAGAUGACUGCUGAACAGCCUUCCAUCACUACUGGAGAACCAGUAACGUCUACCAGAGCAACCUCCACAGAGGUAACCACGGAGCACAGAAGCUGGACAAAUGGACUACUUCUAUAAUCAGAAAGUAAGUGGAUGGAAAAUGAACAGACAGUGAACAACUAUAGUUGCCCUUUUAUUCCCACAGAAGUUAUCCUUUAAGGUGGUUCACGAACCCCUAACCAUUAGUUGCCCUCUUCUGGGUUUAUUCCAGUUUGUCACAAUUUCUCUUAAAUUUUCUCUUGGCCCCUUAACCAAGUGCAGAGCAAUGAACAAGUCAGUGCGUGAAUUUGUCCAUUUAAAAGUUUCCAACAGACUUAACAUACUCAGGUCUAGGAAGCAUUUACUUUGUAGAGUUACUAUAACGGACAACUCAGCUCUAGAUAGGAUAAAAGGGUCGUGUUUUCAACCACACAUACCUGUCCAAGCUGUGAUGUCUGUCCCUGAAGAGAGAUUUGUGAACAUGAUUCCUUAGAUCCUCCUGGCUGUACGAUUGGAACUCAAGCUCUCACUUUCAUCUGUAGUGAUGUGCCCUCCCUUAUUUUCAGUUACUAUUAGUCUGCCUUAAACUGCCAUUCUGAACUUGGCAAAAACAGAGCCUACUCUCCCUUUGAUCCCAAUUUCCUAAUCGCUGCCCUCACUGCCCAUAUGCUAGUGAAAAGGCAAGAGAAGUUUACACUGCUUUUGUGUACAUCUCAUGAAAUUAGGAAUACCUACAAUAGACAUUUGGUAAUCUAGCCUUUGUACAGGCCUGGCCUCUCAGUUACACUAAUAAAACUUUACAGAUUCCUCACGUCCAGUGACUUAAAGCAUUUUCUAUAGCCAGGCACAGUGCUGGAUAAUAUCACUUGCCUUCCUCUACUCAACUUCCCUCACCCUUCUAAGACCAGCUUAGCUGACACAAAUACAAAUUUCAGGCAGCAAAGAUGUGGCCAUUUUAAUCUCAUUUUAAAAACUACAACUAAUCUUAAGUAAGGCAGUCGCUGAUCAGUUGCAAGCUGAUGAAAUACUGAGGUCUUCUUCAACCACCACCUCGGCAACCUGAAAGUAGUUCUCUGCAAUACUACUGUCAAAUGACCAGAGAUGUCUGUCACAGAGGGAUAUUGAAAAUGAAUCUUAAACUGUCUUUUACAAUUUUUUGUUCACGAGCUGGAAACACCUACUUCCAAAAUACCCACUAUUUAAAAACCUUCUGUAUUCAAACUUGGUUCACAUCUG